CGACGCCGAAAGGCGGAGCGAGAAGUCAGCAGAGGCCGUAGUAGCCGCAGUGUGGGCGAAGGGC
Non-coding RNA from Thauera sp. 63, 64 nucleotides. NCBI's taxonomy places the organism in Bacteria, Pseudomonadati, Pseudomonadota, Betaproteobacteria, Rhodocyclales, Zoogloeaceae. The record is from Rfam.